CACACAAAAGCUAAAUGUUAUUUCUGCUUUUCUCUCUGUUGUCAUGUGGAAGUGGGAGCAGAUGCAUUCUGUGUUACCCAUAGGGCAGAAGAAGCAUCAGCUGAGAGACAGAUUUUAUAGCUCACGGGCCUCGUUGGAUCUCACGUGUGGAGGAGAAUGGUUGGUGAGCAGCACACGUGCAGAUGGGAUUUGUGGAUAGCAUGAGCCACGACUGCGCGAUUUUCCCUGCACGUCCACCGUCUUGUCAGUGUGGCCCAGGACCACCCUGGGGGGACACCCAUCUUACAGAUGAAGACCGUCUGGGAGGACUCGUGAGUAGUGAGAGCAGGAACCAGUCCCGGAGUCCUGGACUCCUGUUCCCGGCUCAUGCCAUGCACUCAAGGUGCUCACCGCUUGGCACAGACACCAGGCAGGGUAGAUUGAGUUUCCGUUGGUGAACGGAGCUGUCACAGCCCGUCCCUUCUGCAGAAUGCUGCUUCCUCUUCCUCUGAUUCAAGAAUGUUUAUUUCCC
Long non-coding RNA from Hippopotamus amphibius kiboko, 511 nucleotides. RefSeq lists it as uncharacterized. The record is from RefSeq and is a predicted model, not a curated record. The transcript has 3 exons. NCBI's taxonomy places the organism in Eukaryota, Metazoa, Chordata, Mammalia, Artiodactyla, Hippopotamidae.